AACGAACGCUGGCGGCAGGCUUAACACAUGCAAGUCGAACGCUCGUAGCAAUACGGGAGUGGCGGACGGGUGAGUAACGCGUGGGAACGUGCCCUGAGGUACGGAAUAACUGAGGGAAACUUCAGCUAAUACCGUAUGAGCCCCGAGAGGGGAAGAUUUAUCGCCUUGGGAGCGGCCCGCGUCGGAUUAGCUAGUUGGUGGGGUAACGGCCUACCAAGGCUUCGAUCCGUAGCUGGUCUGAGAGGACGAUCAGCCACACUGGGACUGAGACACGGCCCAGACUCCUACGGGAGGCAGCAGUGGGGAAUCUUGCGCAAUGGGGGCAACCCUGACGCAGCCAUGCCGCGUGAACGAUGAAGGCCUUAGGGUUGUAAAGUUCUUUUACCCGUGACGAUGAUGACGGUAACGGGGGAAUAAGCUCCGGCUAACUUCGUGCCAGCAGCCGCGGUAAAGU
Molecule: ribosomal RNA, 454 nt
Filed under: uncultured bacterium
Lineage: Bacteria
Description: bacterial SSU rRNA
Rfam family: Bacterial small subunit ribosomal RNA
Source: RNAcentral